Molecule: long non-coding RNA, 3522 nt
Organism: Lolium rigidum
Lineage: Eukaryota; Viridiplantae; Streptophyta; Magnoliopsida; Poales; Poaceae
Exons: 2
Source: RefSeq, a predicted model, not a curated record
CACUUCAUACUUGCUAUAUAUCUCAAAAUGUCGAUGAGUUCCAGAAAUGCUUCAAGUAUUUGUGAGUUUUUUGUCAGAAUUGUUAACGAAGUUCUUCUAGAUCUGUAUUUAAAUUGCCAAUGAAAAGUCACUAGAACUUACAAGGUUAUAUAUGAGCAUAUUCGUAUAGCUGUAGAGGUGUUAUUAUCCUAUUAAUGUGUUCCCAGCCACGGGUUGUGUCUGAGUUUCACCAAAACUCCAUUAUGUUCAUUACACAACACUUGAAAAUAAUUCUUGAGCGACACUCUUAUGAGAGUAGUCCAUCAGUUUUGUUACAAGAGCACUAAAGUUUCGAAAUAGCAUGGAUUUAGGCUAUCCAUAUCCUAUGGUUCAUGAAAAAAUAUUUCCUGUUUGGGCUCAAUGCUAUUUGGGCUCUGCUACGUGAGAAAGCAAACACGCCUUGGUACAGCUUAUUCCGGGGUAAUGGGCCUGGCAUAGGUGCAGGUGCUGUCUCCAAUUCAAUGCAAAAGCCUGUACUACUUUUCAUGACUGGACAUUUGGUUUUAUUGGGCUUUCGUGUCCCCAAAUAGGUUUUAGGCCAGGAUAUUUCCUUUGUUUUGAACAGGGAAAGGAUUUUGUUUACAUUAGUUGCAUUCUGAGAGUCACAGCUAUCUAUGUUGUCUUCAGCAUAGUUCUCUUGGUUGCUGAUUCCAAAUAGGCCCCUAAAGGAAUUAGGAUGUGUGCUGUUAAUGUUCUGAGUUACCGUGCACUUGAACUCUCCAUCUACUCCUUUGUCAUCUUUUUUGUGGAGACAGCUAUGCGUGUAUACUUAAUAUGACCUUGUAGCCGUAGCAAUUGUUUUUGACCUUGAAAAAUAGGCACAUAGUGAGACUCAGUGCACAUCCGUAAUAAUUUCAGCAUGUGCAACGAAUAAUUUUGUGGUAGAAAGUUGAUCUAGCAUCUGGAACCUGAUUGUCUCAUCAUGGCACGUUCUCCUGUAGACAUGGUUAGAUUAUUCAGUAGUUAUACGAAGUUUCGUGUGAUUGAAUAUAUUAGAUUAUUAUAUUCAAUUGUUGGUAAUUUUGUGAGACCUGGCACAUCCGUAAUAAUUUCAGCAUGAGCAACAAAUAAUUUUGUGGUAGAAAGUUGAUCUAGCAUCUGGAACCUGAUUGCCUCAUCACGACACGUUCUCCUGUAGAAAUGGUUAGAUUAUUCAGUAGUUAUAUGAAGUUCAUGUGAUUGAAUAUAUUGGAUUAUUAUACUUCAAUUGUUGGUAAUUUUGCUGUUAUCAAGUCACAAAGUGGCAGAGUGCUCUGCGUUAUAAGACUUAUGUUUUAAUACAUGCCACGAGAUGCCAGACAUAACAAUAUAUAUCUCUUAUUGCUUGUGACAUGCAAAGAUUUUGGUUAUUAGUAAUGCCUGAAGACGGUGCAGCACACAUAACAGUUCCAUUUUCCAUGAGGACUUACGCCUGUUCAAUUUAUGGAGUCACAUGUACGAUAAAAAUUGUUAUAAAAACAAUAGUGCCCUCAAUUUCAGGGUGGCACUUAUUUGCAAUAGGUUUACAAGUUCACUUCUCAAUGACUCAUUGAAUAAAUACUUUGCUCUGUCUUGCUCUCAUUAUCAACUCUUUACAUCAAACAAUAUCCUCUUCAGCUUAGAGGAUUAUCUCUAUGGCUCAUGGAUUUAACUGUAAUCUGCAGUGUUUGACUAGUUAAGAAUAGUGAACAAAUAGGAAGUGUGUCGAUUAUAUAGUAUAUAAUAAAGGUUACCCUAGCUUUGGAGCAGCUGAUUGCUUAGUGUCAUCCUGUUGAGGCAGUGUGCUGAGUCCAAGUUGCACAGGAACAUUCCUGUUUUCAACAACUGCAAAGUUGUAUGGUGUAGGUGAAUCCCGAUUUACUUCACUUGGUCCUUCAGCCUCAUAUAUCUGAUAACAAAAUCAAUUGCAACUCAAGUCAGUUAUGUUGAUAGGCGGGGUGCUCAGUAAUAUUCUUGUUUAACUUUGUCUGCUACCUUCUUAUAUAACUCAGCAUUUUCUUGGCCAAUCAUACUGAUCUUCUUGUACAAUUCCAUGUUUUCUUGGUGAACUAGACUUCCCUGUAAACAAAAAAGUGAUACAGUCAGUCUAUUAUAAGAAAAACAAGUAUGUCAUUAGAAACUGCAGAACUUAUAUUUGACAGAACCUUCCGAUUCAGUUCAUGAAUUUCAUCAAAUAAGAUCUGGUCCUGGAAAUAACAGUAGUAACAAUUUUCAGUCGAAUCUUCAUGUAGGAAUGGGUUGAGUGUGGUAAGAAAUUUGGUUAUGGUUUGACCUUCUUUGUGCGGACACCACGUAGGCUUACUUCCAGCUGAUUCUCUAUGGACUGCAGUUCCUUAACAUUCAGUCCAGAUAGAUCUUCUCCCAUCAACUGCCUGUAGGAUUCAGAACAUACCGAUGAUUUUCUUGCAAGUUGUGCAGUUGUUGUCUCAAGCUUGCUGCCUCCCUUUGCCAAAACUAAGAAGUGCAAUAGCAGAAUUAUGCAAUGUAAAUACAUGAAAGUAACAAAUUUCUUGACAACAGAUAUGAUGGCUAUUUACCAUGGAACAUAUUAUGAUGCAUCAUGAUAUUAAACAAAGUAGCUGGAUAAGACGUUUUAUUGUCAUACAUGUAGGCACUAGUGUUCAUUUUUGCAAUAUGGACGCUACCUAGCUACAUACGUCUUAAAUUCUGUAGUGAGCAAAAUGUAUUUAGGUUGGCGGAUGGUUAUGCACAUUUUGGUAGUGCCACAACCACUAUUUAAUGGCAGAUCAGCUCAAAGACAAAUAAAGUCAUAACAGAGUAAGUGAUCACUCAUAGCCGACCUGUUUGUUACUACAUUUGGAUAAUGUUAUUGUUUGAUUUUGCCUUUUCUCUUCUCACUUACGAGGACAGGACUUUGGGGAGCAGUCAAAGGUGCAAACUAGGAGUGGUUGCGGAUCAACACUCUGAUUGGUUCAUACAGAGAAUCCACCUUCGUUCAGAUUGGCAACGGUGAAUGUACAGCCUCGUGGAAAGAUAAAUGGCCAAGCAACAAGCCAUUGCACAUUCAGUUCCCUGCUUUGUUCUCACAUACUAAUCGACCGAACAUCUUGGUCGCUGAUUGCUUUCAGAACGGAGAAUGGGUGAUACAUUUGAUGCAUAUUACGCUGGAUCGUGCUGAACAAGAAAAGUGGAAUUGCUGGCCUUCCUGAAUACAUGCUCCCUUUGACUCGCCAACUCCAGAUAGGAGAGGAUGGAGACUGAAUAUUACAGAGUCCUCAGUCAAAAACAUGUAGUAUGAGUUAUGCAACUGGGGGUGGAUUGCACACUUCAGUGCGAACACAAUCUGUAGCUGUGCUGCCCCAUGUAAUGGGAAAUUAUUCGCCUGGCUCAUGAUAAAAAGAAGGAUCAAAGGUUAGGACAGUUUUGUUCAAACAACACUGGAUGAUGAACUCUGCCCCUUUGGGUGCAAAGAAAAGAAACAGUUGAACACUUUGCAUUGUACUGUCGUUGACCAAACAAAAUCAUGGCGAUGUUCGGUAUUCA